RNAcentral lists this ribosomal RNA (320 nucleotides) under uncultured eukaryote. RNAcentral's name for it is "partial 18S ribosomal RNA". It matches the Rfam family "Eukaryotic small subunit ribosomal RNA", at positions 1470 to 1796 of the family's 1831-position model. The record is from RNAcentral.
CCCUUAGAUGUUCUGGGCCGCACGCGUGCUACACUGAGUGGAUCAGCGGGUCAGGUUGCGCGAAAGCGUUUCCUAAUCUUUAAAUCCGCUCGUGAUGGGGAUUGACGGUUGCAAUUUUCUGUCAUGAACGAGGAAUACCUUGUAAGCGCGGGUCAUCAUCCCGCGCUGAAUACGUCCCUGCCCUUUGUACACACCGCCCGUCGCUCCUACCGAUUGAGUGGUCCGGUGAAUAAUUCGGACUGCAGCAAUGUUCAGCUCCUGAAUGUUGCAGCGGAAAGUUUAGUGAACCUUAUCACUUAGAGGAAGGAGAAGUCGUAACA